GACGAACGCUGGCGGCGCGCCUAACACAUGCAGGUCGAACGAGCGAGAGAGAGCUUGCUUUCUCGAGCGAGUGGCGAACGGGUGAGUAACGCGUGAGGAACCUGCCUCAAAGAGGGGGACAACAGUUGGAAACGACUGCUAAUACCGCAUAAGCCCACGGUGCCGCAUGGCACAGAGGGAAAAGGAGCAAUCCGCUUUGAGAUGGCCUCGCGUCCGAUUAGCUAGUUGGUGAGGUAAUGGCCCACCAAGGCGACGAUCGGUAGCCGGACUGAGAGGUUGAACGGCCACAUUGGGACUAAGACACGGACCAGACUCCUACGGGAGGCAGCAGUGGGGGAUAUUGCACGAUGGGGGGAGACCUGAUGCAGCGACGCCGCGUGGAGGAAGAAGGUCUUCGGAAUGUAAACUCCUGUUGUUGGGGAAGAUAAUGACGGUACCCAACAAAGAAGUAACGGCUAACUACGUA
This 466-nucleotide ribosomal RNA is filed under the name uncultured bacterium. Its description in RNAcentral is "partial 16S ribosomal RNA". It matches the Rfam family "Bacterial small subunit ribosomal RNA", at positions 28 to 507 of the family's 1533-position model. The record is from RNAcentral.